GACGAACGCUGGCGGCGUGCCUAACACAUGCAAGUCGAACGGAGUGAAGCCCUUCGGGACUUUACUUAGUGGCGAACGGGUGAGUAACGCGUGAGGAACCUGCCUUUCAGUGGGGGACAACAGUUGGAAACGACUGCUAAUACCGCAUGAUACUUUUUGGAGGCAUCUCUGGAAAGUCAAAGAUUUAUUGCUGAAAGAUGGUCUCGCGUCUGAUUAGCUAGUUGGCGGGGUAACGGCCCACCAAGGCGACGAUCAGUAGCCGGUCUGAGAGGAUGAACGGCCACAUUGGGACUGAGAUACGGCCCAGACUCCUACGGGAGGCAGCAGUGGGGAAUAUUGGGCAAUGGGCGAAAGCCUGACCCAGCAACGCCGCGUGAAGGAAGAAGGCCUUCGGGUUGUAAACGUUCUUUAGUCAGGGACGAAGGACGUGACGGUACCUGCAGAAAAGACAGACGGCUAACUACGUAG
This 468-nucleotide ribosomal RNA is filed under the name uncultured bacterium. RNAcentral describes it as "bacterial SSU rRNA". It matches the Rfam family "Bacterial small subunit ribosomal RNA", at positions 28 to 508 of the family's 1533-position model. The record is from RNAcentral.